UAUUAGGUUGGUGCAAAAGUAAUUGCGGUUUUUACAAUCAAAAGUAAUGGUAAAAGCCACAAUUACUUUUGCACCAACCUAAUA
Molecule: microRNA precursor, 84 nt
Filed under: Pan troglodytes (chimpanzee)
Lineage: Eukaryota; Metazoa; Chordata; Mammalia; Primates; Hominidae
Description: mir-548 microRNA precursor family
Rfam family: mir-548 microRNA precursor family
Source: Rfam by way of RNAcentral